RNAcentral lists this ribosomal RNA (388 nucleotides) under uncultured bacterium. RNAcentral's name for it is "bacterial SSU rRNA". It matches the Rfam family "Bacterial small subunit ribosomal RNA", at positions 306 to 691 of the family's 1533-position model. The record is from RNAcentral.
CCCCACAUUGGUACUGAGACACGGACCAAACUCCUACGGGAGGCAGCAGUGAGGAAUAUUGGUCAAUGGACGGAAGUCUGAACCAGCCAUGCCGCGUGCAGGAAGACGGCUCUAUGAGUUGUAAACUGCUUUUGUACGAGGGUAAACGCAGAUACGUGUAUCUGCCUGAAAGUAUCGUACGAAUAAGGAUCGGCUAACUCCGUGCCAGCAGCCGCGGUAAUACGGAGGAUCCAAGCGUUAUCCGGAUUUAUUGGGUUUAAAGGGUGCGUAGGCGGUUUAGUAAGUCAGCGGUGAAAUUUUGGUGCUUAACACCAAACGUGCCGUUGAUACUGCUGGGCUAGAGAGUAGUUGCGGUAGGCGGAAUGUAUGGUGUAGCGGUGAAAUGCUU